This 594-nucleotide ribosomal RNA is filed under the name uncultured Bacteroidota bacterium. RNAcentral describes it as "bacterial SSU rRNA". It matches the Rfam family "Bacterial small subunit ribosomal RNA", at positions 122 to 715 of the family's 1533-position model. The record is from RNAcentral. Lineage: Bacteria; Pseudomonadati; Bacteroidota.
CAACCUGCCCGCCACUUGGGGAUAACCUUGCGGAAGUAAGACUAAUACCCAAUGAUAUCUCUAGAAGACAUCUGAAAGAGAUUAAAGAUUUAUCGGUGAUGGAUGGGGAUGCGUCUGAUUAGCUUGUUGGCGGGGUACGGCCCACCAAGGCAACGAUCAGUAGGGGUUCUGAGAGGAAGGUCCCCCACAUUGGAACUGAGACACGGUCCAAACUCCUACGGGAGGCAGCAGUGAGGAAUAUUGGUCAAUGGACGAGAGUCUGAACCAGCCAAGUAGCGUGCAGGAAGACGGCCCUAUGGGUUGUAAACUGCUUUUAUAAGGGAAUAAAGUGAGUCUCGUGAGACUUUUUGCAUGUACCUUAUGAAUAAGGACCGGCUAAUUCCGUGCCAGCAGCCGCGGUAAUACGGAAGGUCCGGGCGUUAUCCGGAUUUAUUGGGUUUAAAGGGAGCGUAGGCCGGAGAUUAAGCGUGUUGUGAAAUGUAGAUGCUCAACAUCUGAACUGCAGCGCGAACUGGUUUCCUUGAGUACGCACAAAGUGGGCGGAAUUCGUGGUGUAGCGGUGAAAUGCUUAGAUAUCACGAAGAACUCCGAUUG